Molecule: long non-coding RNA, 499 nt
Organism: Girardinichthys multiradiatus
Lineage: Eukaryota; Metazoa; Chordata; Actinopteri; Cyprinodontiformes; Goodeidae
Exons: 3
Source: RefSeq, a predicted model, not a curated record
GUGUUUCUAUUUUUAUUUUUGGACAGAUUUGGCCUCAGCAUUUCAGUGUUCACAGCUGAAUCUCUUGUUUCUUUACACAGCUUGCUCCCUGAUUGUCUCAGUUUGUCUUGUCUUCAGCAUCCCUCACAUCUGGUUUUUAUGUUCUUGCCACCUCUGGAUUUGAGCCAGUGUUUGGACCCUUUAUCCAAUCAACAUUCAUCUAUUCAUAGCAGGCUCAUGUUACUAAAAUGCAUAACUGGAAAUCUCAAGCUGAACUAUACUAUAAAAGAAACAUCUCCUUGAUCCAGAAGCCUACCUAAUCAUCAAGUUGAGUCAUGACACUGCCAAAAAACUUUUUAUGAAAUAUCCUCAUCCUCCUCUUCCUUCCUGUCUUCCCCCUGUCCUUGGAAAAUCCUUGUGUAGCCUGCGGGGUGGGGGGAUGGGGUGAGUAGUUACACGGUGCCUUUCAUUCAACUCCUUAUCACAACAUUAUCUCAGCAUUCCAAUGCCUUGAGCUGGA